This 433-nucleotide ribosomal RNA is filed under the name uncultured bacterium. RNAcentral's name for it is "partial 16S ribosomal RNA". It matches the Rfam family "Bacterial small subunit ribosomal RNA", at positions 29 to 507 of the family's 1533-position model. The record is from RNAcentral.
AACGAACGCUGGCGGCAUGCCUAACACAUGCAAGUCGAACGAGGCCUUCGGGUCUAGUGGCGCACGGGUGCGUAACGCGUGGGAACCUGCCCUUAGGUUCGGAAUAACUCCCCGAAAGGGGUGCUAAUACCGGAUAAUGUCUUCGGACCAAAGAUUUAUCGCCUUUGGAUGGGCCCGCGUUGGAUUAGCUAGUUGGUAGGGUAAAAGCCUACCAAGGCGACGAUCCAUAGCUGGUCUGAGAGGAUGAUCAGCCACACUGGGACUGAGACACGGCCCAGACUCCUACGGGAGGCAGCAGUGGCGAAUAUUGGACAAUGGGCGAAAGCCUGAUCCAGCAAUGCCGCGUGAGUGAUGAAGGCCUUAGGGUUGUAAAGCUCUUUUACCCGGGAUGAUAAUGACAGUACCGGGAGAAUAAGCUCCGGCUAACUCCGUG